Long non-coding RNA from Homo sapiens (human), 1621 nucleotides. Ensembl annotates it as MIR124-2 host gene. Its record names the gene MIR124-2HG. The record is from Ensembl. Lineage: Eukaryota; Metazoa; Chordata; Mammalia; Primates; Hominidae.
GGUUUUGACAGCAGGACGGCGAAGGGAGCGCUUGGAGAGGCUGGAAGCUCGACGUCUUAGGGAGCUGCCUGCGGGCACUGGGUUGACGCCAAGAGGUUGUCGGCAAGGGCAGGGCUCUUGCCCUCUGCUGUACCUAGGCUCUGCAACUGGGGGCUGCGAGCCUUCUGCGGCUCUUUGGUUUCAAGGACACAGCGAGCUGCUCAGGACUUUGGGAGCCAACAUCUGUCUGACUGGUGACGUCAGCAGCCCGUGUAAUCCUCUUGUGCUGAAGGCAGAUGCCUUAUUUGUUUGGCUGGAGCGAGCCAUUAAUCCCUAAUUCUGGAUCAGCAAGCGAGGGGGAAAGACCGGACCGCUCCGACCCACCCCCUCCCUACCCCCACCUCCCACCUUAAAGCACCUUAUACCACGGAAGGCUCUCAGCCUCUUCUUUCCUCUGCGAACGCGCUGAGCAGCGAUUGAAAACGUUUUGGUCCUCUGCAGGUUUGAACAGGGCUAGCAGGUCUCUCUCCGGAUUUCUAGGGCUAUGGCUCCCGAAAUCGUUUCUCUGGACGCGGCAGUAUCCGCAGCGCAUGCACCCUCCUCUGGACUUCCGCAGCCCAGACCUGCGCUUACAGUCAUCGCGCCACCCCCUCCCCCCGGGCUGCGGGCCCCGCGCUCCGUGGGCUCAGGGUCCCCUCCGCGUCCCCCUGAAGCCUGGGGACGGAGGUCGCGACCGGCCGACUGGGGUCCUGUCCUCUUGUCACCUUGUAUCCCUCGCAUGCUCCCUCCCGCCUCGUGUCCCUCUCCCCACCCUCCCCCUCCUCUCUCCCGCCUCCCUAACACUGCGCUUUGAUUCUGUUUUUCAGGGGCGCAUUCUGGGGUCUCUGCGCAAGACCAGCUCUCAGCUCUCUCUCCUUUCCUCGGACUCUGGAGCGGGAGCGGGCCUUUCCCUCGGGUCGACCACGCCGUAGGGGACGCCGUGAAAAGAGCCGUCGCGCCCGCUGCCUCCUGCCCGCUGCGCAGAGGGCUCCGCCCGUAGAGGUCAACUUCCCUCACCCUUUUCUCUCUCCUGCUUGCCCUCCCUCCGCCCGGCCCAGGCGCUUCCAGCCCCAGACUGUGGCCACUGGCUGAGGAGUGCGAGUCGGCUGCGCUGCCCUGAGCCUAAUCCCUCUUCCGGGCCCAGACCCGAGGUCCGCGCUCCUGGGCAGUGGGGAAGCUUUAGUGAGCAGGCUUUUCUCUCCGCAGCAAACUUGUAGCCAGACCAGAUGGGCCGCCCAGCUCUCUCGGGACUAGGCAGGUGCGGAUGAGUUAAUUUUUCCGCAUUACAAAGAAAGAUGACCCAGCCCGCCCUUGGACUCUCUUUUCCCAAAAUCUCCCAACCAAACCCGCGGUAACGUUAUCAAAGGACACAGAGCCCAGGCAUAUCUGUGUGUUUAUCUUACAGGCACACACGCAUGGUUUUCUCUUUUAUAUGCUAGAUUUCAUCCCUGACAGCAGAAAAUGAUUGGCAAUGGUUAUGACGGAGAACAUGCAAUAGCGUGGUCCUUAAAAACCUGCCAUUCCUUACAAGUGCCUUAGAAAGGAUUCAGGGCGAACCAACUGGGUUAAUUGCAUUCAGUAAAAUAACACGAUUACAAAAUUA